UAGUGGCGCACGGGUGCGUAACACGUAUGCAACCUACCUUAUACUGGGGGAUAGCCUUUGGAAACGGAGAUUAAUACCCCAUAAUACGUUUUAGUGGCAUCACAUAGACGUUAAAGAUUUAUCGGUAUAAGUUGGGCAUGCGUCCAAUUAGUUAGUUGGUGGGGUAAUGGCUCACCAAGACUUUGAUUGGUAGGGGAACUGAGAGGUUAAUCCCCCACACUGGCACUGAGAUACGGGCCAGACUCCUACGGGAGGCAGCAGUAGGGAAUAUUGGGCAAUGGAGGCAACUCUGACCCAGCCAUGCCGCGUGCAGGAAGAAGGCGUUAUGCGUUGUAAACUGCUUUUAUAUAGGAAGAAAGAGUUCUUGCGAGAACAGUUGACGGUACUAUAUGAAUAAGCACCGGCUAACUCCGUGCCAGCAGCCGCGGUAAUACGGAGGGUGCAAGCGUUGUCCGGAUUUAUUGGGUUUAAAGGGUGCGUAGGCGGUUUAUUAAGUCAGUGGUGAAAGACGGUCGCUCAACGAUUGCAGUGCCAUUGAUACUGGUAGACUUGAGUGAGAUUGAGGUAGCUGGAAUGGAUAGUGUAGCGGUGAAAUGCAUAGAUAUUAUCCAGAACACCAAUUGCGUAGGCAAGUUACUAAGUCUC
This 645-nucleotide ribosomal RNA is filed under the name uncultured bacterium. RNAcentral's name for it is "bacterial SSU rRNA". It matches the Rfam family "Bacterial small subunit ribosomal RNA", at positions 93 to 737 of the family's 1533-position model. The record is from RNAcentral.